This 520-nucleotide ribosomal RNA is filed under the name uncultured soil bacterium. RNAcentral describes it as "bacterial SSU rRNA". It matches the Rfam family "Bacterial small subunit ribosomal RNA", at positions 26 to 527 of the family's 1533-position model. The record is from RNAcentral.
AGAAUCAACGCUGGCGGCGUGCCUAACACAUGCAAGUUGAGCGCUUGAGGGGGCAACCCCAAGAGAGCAGCGAACGGGUGAGUAACGCGUGGGUGAUCUUCCUUCGAGUGGGGAACAACAUCGGGAAACUGGUGCUAAUUCCGCAUAAUACCCCGGGGCUACGAGCCUCAGGAUCAAAGCCGGGGACCGUAAGGCCUGGCGCUUGAAGAUGAGCCCGCGUCCGAUUAGCUAGUUGGCGGGGUAAUGGCCCACCAAGGCUUCGAUCGGUAGCCGGCCUGAGAGGGCGGACGGCCACGACUGGAACUGAGACACGGUCCAGACUCCUACGGGAGGCAGCAGUGGGGAAUUUUCGCAAUGGGCGCAAGCCUGACGAAGCAACGCCGCGUGGAGGAUGAAGGUCUUCGGAUUGUAAACUCCUGUCGACCGGACGAAUGCACCCGACCUAAUACGUCGAAGUGUUGACGGUACCGGUGGAGGAAGCCGACGGCUAACUCUAGUGCCAGCAAGCCGCGGUAAUCUA